RNAcentral lists this unclassified non-coding RNA (217 nucleotides) under uncultured Tomentellopsis. Its description in RNAcentral is "sequence contains ITS2". Lineage: Eukaryota; Fungi; Basidiomycota; Agaricomycetes; Thelephorales; Thelephoraceae. The record is from RNAcentral.
AAUUCUCAACUACCCCAGGCUUGUGGGUGAAGUUGGACUUGGAGGUAUGCUGGCGCAUGAAUGGGCUUUGUGCCCUGCCAUGCUUGUCGGCUCCUCUCGAAUACAUGAGCUUUCCGAUCCUUGGCAAAGUAUCGUCGAUGUGAUAAUUAUCUAUGUCGCCCGAGAAAGCCGAAAAGGGGAAAUCUUUGAUCACGCUGGGGUGACCCGCGUCUGACAA